UCCAGGGAUUAAUUAUUUUGGUUCAUCACAGUAUUGUGUGAAGUGCUUACUCUUGCUUUCCAUUACCUUGUUUCUUGGAUUCUAAACUUCCUUGCUGUCAACUCAACUUGUUGAAUUCAUUCAACUUCACAGUAUACUAUCAUAUUUUAUGCAAAUCUCUCUCAUGUUGAAUUAGCUUGUAAAAAUCCAAUACUGUCUAUCGAACAUUCCUGUGGCUAUCUCUUAGUUUGAGUUAAACUUGAAUAAUUUUGUCUAUUAUUUCAGGAAGUGUUUUCUAUAGCUAUAUCACGUUAUAUGGAGCAACCUGAAAAGAAGGAAACGCUAUUGAAGUUGCUGCAAUGGAUGAUGGGUCAAGGGUAUGUUGUGGACUCGACAUCGAGAAAUCUAAUCCUCAAGAAUUCACAUCUGUUUGGACGCCACCUCAUUGCUGAAAUAUUAUCAAAACAGCAUAAAAUGUCAAAAGUACUAAGAACUCAGUAGAUGAUGGUUGCAUGAGUUUUGAGAGUGCAGUAGUGGCUGAAGUCAUCUUUGGCAGGGUCUGAGGGGCUGUCCUGAUAAAAAUUAUUCACAGUUACACCUCCUAUUAAGCAUCCAGAUCUUCUGUCCGGCAAUUUCUCAUUUAUCAUAGCAUGAUUAAAAAGUGUGUGAUGUCAAGGUUAUAACAGUUGUACUUCCUUCAGGUAAAAGUUAUUUUAACAGCUAACAAUCUACUUACUCAAAUGACACAUUGUAUUUUCCAAUUUAAUGAUAUACUCUGGUAAAUUUUUCCAGCAA
Telopea speciosissima is the source of this 774-nucleotide long non-coding RNA. RefSeq lists it as uncharacterized. The record is from RefSeq and is a predicted model, not a curated record. The transcript is spliced from 2 exons. Lineage: Eukaryota; Viridiplantae; Streptophyta; Magnoliopsida; Proteales; Proteaceae.